This 405-nucleotide ribosomal RNA is filed under the name uncultured bacterium. RNAcentral describes it as "bacterial SSU rRNA". It matches the Rfam family "Bacterial small subunit ribosomal RNA", at positions 356 to 776 of the family's 1533-position model. The record is from RNAcentral.
GGGGAAUAUUGGGCAAUGGGGGCAACGCUGACCCAGCGACGCCGCGUGGGGGAAGACGGCCUUCGGGUUGUAAACCUCUUUUGUACGGGAAGAAGGAAGUGACGGUACUGUACGAAUAAGUCCCGGCUAACUACGUGCCAGCAGCCGCGGUAAUACGUAGGGGACGAGCGUUGUCCGGAAUUACUGGGCGUAAAGGGCGCGCAGGCUGUGCUGCAAGUCAGCUGUUAAAUGUCUGGGCUUAACCCGGGCAUGCGGUUGAGACUGCGGUGCUGGAGUGCUGUAGAGGCAAGUGGAAUUCCCAGUGUAGCGGUGAAAUGCGUAGAUAUUGGGAAGAACACCGGUGGCGAAGGCGACUUGCUGGGCAGCAACUGACGCUGAGGCGCGAAAGCCAGGGGAGCAAACGGG